GAAUCUGACUUCUCGGAGGAGGAGGAGUACUCAGACUAUGAGGAAUUGAUCUCCGAUGACGAUGAAUCAGAUGGCGAGCUGCAAAGAGCCUUUGAAAGAGGGGACAUAAAGCCUGGAUUGAACUUUGCAGCAGACAUUGAUGCGCGGAAUAAGGAAAUGAAGAAUGAUGUGGCUGGUCUUGAACAAAAACUAAAGGAGUUCAAACAGAGA
This is a non-coding RNA of Penaeus vannamei (Pacific white shrimp), 210 nucleotides long. The record is from RefSeq and is a predicted model, not a curated record. Lineage: Eukaryota; Metazoa; Arthropoda; Malacostraca; Decapoda; Penaeidae.